CAUGCAAGUCGAGCGGUAACAUUUCUAGCUUGCUAGAAGAUGACGAGCGGCGGACGGGUGAGUAAUGCUUGGGAACAUGCCUUGAGGUGGGGGACAACAGUUGGAAACGACUGCUAAUACCGCAUAAUGUCUACGGACCAAAGGGGGCUUCGGCUCUCGCCUUUAGAUUGGCCCAAGUGGGAUUAGCUAGUUGGUGAGGUAAUGGCUCACCAAGGCGACGAUCCCUAGCUGGUUUGAGAGGAUGAUCAGCCACACUGGGACUGAGACACGGCCCAGACUCCUACGGGAGGCAGCAGUGGGGAAUAUUGCACAAUGGGCGCAAGCCUGAUGCAGCCAUGCCGCGUGUGUGAAGAAGGCCUUCGGGUUGUAAAGCACUUUCAGUCAGGAGGAAAGGUUAGUAGUUAAUACCUGCUAGCUGUGACGUUACUGACAGAAGAAGCACCGGCUAACUCCGUGCCAGCAGCCGCGGUAAUACGGAGGGUGCGAGCGUUAAUCGGAAUUACUGGGCGUAAAGCGUACGCAGGCGGUUUGUUAAGCGAGAUGUGAAAGCCCCGGGCUCAACCUGGGAACUGCAUUUCGAACUGGCAAACUAGAGUGUGAUAGAGGGUGGUAGAAUUUCAGGUGUAGCGGUGAAAUGCGUAGAGAUCUGA
This 650-nucleotide ribosomal RNA is filed under the name uncultured bacterium. Its description in RNAcentral is "bacterial SSU rRNA". It matches the Rfam family "Bacterial small subunit ribosomal RNA", at positions 54 to 701 of the family's 1533-position model. The record is from RNAcentral.